CAGUAGCCGCGGGAAUACGAGGGGAGCUAGCGUUAUUCGGAAUUACUGGGCGUAAAGCGCACGUAGGCGGCUUUGUAAGUUAGAGGUGAAAGCCCAGAGCUCAACUCUGGAAUUGCCUUUAAGACUGCAUCGCUUGAAUCCAGGAGAGGUGAGUGGAAUUCCGAGUGUAGAGGUGAAAUUCGUAGAUAUUCGGAAGAACACCAGUGGCGAAGGCGGCUCACUGGACUGGUAUUGACGCUGAGGUGCGAAAGCGUGGGGAGCAAACAGGAUUAGAUACCCGUGUAGUCCCUGUCUCUUAUAC
This 301-nucleotide ribosomal RNA is filed under the name uncultured bacterium. RNAcentral's name for it is "partial 16S ribosomal RNA". It matches the Rfam family "Bacterial small subunit ribosomal RNA", at positions 509 to 807 of the family's 1533-position model. The record is from RNAcentral.